RNAcentral lists this ribosomal RNA (492 nucleotides) under uncultured bacterium. RNAcentral describes it as "partial 16S ribosomal RNA". It matches the Rfam family "Bacterial small subunit ribosomal RNA", at positions 29 to 507 of the family's 1533-position model. The record is from RNAcentral.
AGUGAACGCUGGCGGUAGGCCUAACACAUGCAAGUCGAACGGCAGCACAGUAAGAGCUUGCUCUUACGGGUGGCGAGUGGCGGACGGGUGAGGAAUACAUCGGAAUCUACUUUUUCGUGGGGGAUAACGUAGGGAAACUUACGCUAAUACCGCAUACGACCUACGGGUGAAAGCAGGGGAUCUUCGGACCUUGCGCGAUUGAAUGAGCCGAUGUCGGAUUAGCUAGUUGGCGGGGUAAAGGCCCACCAAGGCGACGAUACGUAGCUGGUCUGAGAGGAUGAUCAGCCACACUGGAACUGAGACACGGUCCAGACUCCUACGGGAGGCAGCAGUGGGGAAUCUUGGACAAUGGGCGAAAGCCUGAUCCAGCCAUACCGCGUGAGUGAAGAAGGUCUUCGGGUUGUAAAGCCCUUUUGUUGGGAAAGAAAAGCAGCAGGUUAAUACCCCGCUGUUCUGACGGUACCCAAAGAAUAAGCACCGGCUAACUUCGUG